CACGGAGGGUGCGAGCGUUGUCCGGAACCACUGGGCGUAAAGGGCGCGUAGGCGGCUUUUUAAGGGUGCGGUGAAAGCCCGGGGCUUAACCCCGGAAUUGCACCUCAAACUACAUGGCUAGAGCAUUGGAGAGGGUAGCAGAAUUCAUGGUGUAGCAGUGAAAUGCGUAGAUAUCAUGAGGAAUACCAGAGGCGAAGGCGGCUACCUGGACAAUUGCUGACGCUCAGGCACGAAAGCGUGGGGAGCAAAAGGG
RNAcentral lists this ribosomal RNA (253 nucleotides) under uncultured bacterium. RNAcentral's name for it is "partial 16S ribosomal RNA". It matches the Rfam family "Bacterial small subunit ribosomal RNA", at positions 524 to 776 of the family's 1533-position model. The record is from RNAcentral.